Molecule: ribosomal RNA, 253 nt
Filed under: uncultured bacterium
Lineage: Bacteria
Description: partial 16S ribosomal RNA
Rfam family: Bacterial small subunit ribosomal RNA
Source: RNAcentral
UACGUAGGGUGCAAGCGUUAAUCGGAAUUACUGGGCGUAAAGCGUGCGCAGGCGGUUCUAUAAGACAGAUGUGAAAUCCCCGGGCUCAACCUGGGAACUGCAUUUGUGACUGUAGAGCUGGAGUACGGUAGAGGGGGAUGGAAUUCCGCGUGUAGCAGUGAAAUGCGUAGAUAUGCGGAGGAACACCGAUGGCGAAGGCAAUCCCCUGGACCUGUACUGACGCUCAUGCACGAAAGCGUGGGGAGCAAACAGG